This 467-nucleotide ribosomal RNA is filed under the name uncultured bacterium. Its description in RNAcentral is "bacterial SSU rRNA". It matches the Rfam family "Bacterial small subunit ribosomal RNA", at positions 28 to 491 of the family's 1533-position model. The record is from RNAcentral.
GACGAACGCUGGCGGCGUGCCUAACACAUGCAAGUCGAACGAGAAUCUUUGGAAUGAUUCUUUCGGGAUGAAUUCCAAAGAGGAAAGUGGCGGACGGGCGAGUAACGCGUGAGUAACCUGCCCAUAAGAGGGGGAUAAUCCAUGGAAACGUGGACUAAUACCGCAUAUUGUAAUAAAAUCGCAUGAUUUAAUUAUGAAAGAUUUAUCGCUUAUGGAUGGACUCGCGUCAGAUUAGAUAGUUGGUGAGGUAACGGCUCACCAAGUCAACGAUCUGUAGCCGAACUGAGAGGUUGAUCGGCCGCAUUGGGACUGAGACACGGCCCAGACUCCUACGGGAGGCAGCAGUGGGGAAUAUUGCGCAAUGGGGGCAACCCUGACGCAGCAACGCCGCGUGCAGGAAGAAGGUCUUCGGAUUGUAAACUGUUGUCGCAAGGGAAGAAGACAGUGACGGUACCUUGUGAGAAAGU